RNAcentral lists this long non-coding RNA (17838 nucleotides) under Nicotiana benthamiana. RNAcentral describes it as "long non-coding RNA (NBEN_LNC019438)". Lineage: Eukaryota; Viridiplantae; Streptophyta; Magnoliopsida; Solanales; Solanaceae. The record is from RNAcentral.
ACUAUAGGCAAGUAACUCUAUAACAGGCAAUUCACAUAAUUUGUCUGAGUUUAGUAAUCAUGUAUCACCAUCUUAAACACAGGACUCUGAUUUUCAGUUCAUACACCAUAAGUAAUGUUUAUCCUACCAUCUGAUAUCCAGUCCAAUCAUACAAUCCAAUUCAUAUUACAAUAAACACCUAAUCAAAUCAUGGAAGAGCUAAUAUAACAAAAUUAUUAAAAGGUCAAUCCAUAGUAGAACUGGGGCUUCGAUUUCAUUUCCUGCUCAACAAAUGAAUUUACACUGACUUACUCUCAAGUGUGUACCUGGCAAUAUAAAACAACAAGAGAAACGUGAGAAUCAGUAGCAGCUAGCAGAACCAGGAUUCAUCAGCUUCACAAGGCUCAGGACGAAGGAAAUUUUUCUCAAAUUCAUAAACUCCGGCUCAUCGUGUUAUUCCUAAAUUCGGCCAUGCCUAGGGUGAAUUGAGCUUUAUUGACGAUCUUUUCCUUACGAGGGAGGUCCAGGGACCUUUUGUCAUCAGUUCCAUUCAUUGCAGCCAUUUCAGGUUUUUGGCCGGAAGAAUUGAAACGAAUAUUUAAGUCGUUUCGGACCCAUUCGAGCCAAGCGGCUAUGGGAUUUGUUUAGGGGAUGCCAAGGCGGUCCUGUGGUAUUAUUUUAGGGGUGAUUAGGUUAACCGACGUCAUAGUGGAAAAUCUCUUGAUGAAAAUUCGAGGAUUUCCAGUGAGGUUUGAGGGAAGCCAAAGGCGGGAAUGGGAAAAGGAUGACCUGGGGAAUUCGUGGUAUUAAUUUGGGGUGGUUUGGAGGUGGUAGCGUUCACCGGUUGUGGCUCCGCCAGUGGUGUUACACGGAGAUACGAGGAGGGUGACCUUUGGUCUCUUAUACAACAAAGGGAUUCGGGCAAUUAUAUUGAAACCACAAGAACAAAUGUGGACCAUUGGAUGAAAAGAGAUCGAUGGCUCAGAUCGAAUGGGAAGAAGAACGACAUCAUUUGGCCUUACUCCUGAACGGACCGGGUCAAAGGGUUUGGGCCUAGAUUCGGGUGAAUUAAACUUGGCUGGAUGGGAAAUCAAAAUGACCCAAUUACUUUAGGCAACCUUUUUCUUUGUAUUUCUUUUGUUUUUUCUCUUUCAAUUAUUUUCUCUCUUUAUUUCUCUUGCCUUUGUUUUCAAUUUUUGGUAUUUUUCAUUUUAUAAUUUUGUAUUGUAUUUUCUGAAUUUUAUAAAGAUGUAAAAAUAAAAUAAAAUAAAAAUUCAAACUAAACUAAUUAAUGGCCUAAAAUUACUUUUAAAAUUAUUUUGUGGCAAUUUCCAACAAUAAAAACGCUAAAGUGAACUAUUUUUGUGAUUUUUCAUGCGUUGUUCUAAGAUAAUUUGACCCCUAAUUAAUAUUAAAAUAUAAAAUUAAAUCUUAAAUGCAAAUGCACAUUUUUGUAUUUUUAUGUGAAUUAACGCAUGCAAAUAAAAUGCAAACAAUUAAUAAAAAACGACACAAAAGUUUACAUAAAUUGUAAAAAUAAGGAAAAAUCUUUUUGUUUGAAUUUUAUGGGAAUAAUUCAUAUAUAGGGCAAACAUCACAUGCUCACAGCUUCCCCUCUUUGCUUGGAAAUAUGAAAUAUUUUCAGGCAAAGAUAAGUGAGUAAAUAUGAGCGAUUGUUGCCCGUUUGAAAAUUUCAUGCGAAGCAUUUUUGAAAAUCUUGACCGCACCCUACUUUAGAGGUUGCCUACAUAUCCUGGGUUAAACAGGAAUCGGGUCAGCGUAGUUCGGGAAUGUGUGGUAGCUGGGACUACCAGGAGCUGCGAUUGCUGCUCCUAGUGCUUGCUGACCUUCGUUAUUACACCGUGUCAAAAAUAAAAGAAGCUAGCCUAAGCUAUGAGCUACGAAUUACAAAAUCCUAUCUAAAUUAUUCAAACUUGUUCUUGUACUUCUUUGUUGUCUUGUGGUCUUUUAUUCCCUUGUAAAAGUACAUUGUUGUUACUUCAAAUUGCUAACUGGGAUGUUGUUCCUUCUCUCCAAAUUGUUGAACUUGAGUAAACUUCAACUUGAAGGUAUUCCUCUGUUAUCCAGGCGGGCUCCUGAUUGCUGAACUUGAAAUUGAAUGUAUUCCUUUAUUAUCCAAGCGGACUCCUAAUUGCUGAACUUGAGAUUUAAUGUAUUCCUCUAUUAUCCAGGCGGGCUCCUGAUAGCUGAACUUGAAAUUGAAUGUAUUCCUCUAUUAUCCAAGCGGGCUCCUGACUUCACAAAAAUAGAAAAAAAUAAAGAAAAAUUUCUGCCCCAGUUUGGAAACUGGGUACAUGUUACAUGAUAUUAAUAAGAAUUGAUUAAAACUUGAUAUGAAGUACCUCUGCUCUUCGGCAGGCUCGUGACUGCAACUACAACUUAAAAUAUAGCAGCCUCCAUUCUCCAGGGGGGCUCUUGACUUCAACUACAACUUAUGAUUUAGCACCUCCAUUCUCCAGGAGGACUCCUGACUUCGACUACUUAAAAAUCUAACACCUCCAUUCUCCAGGCGGGCUCCUGACUUCAACUACAACUUAAGAUUGAACACCUCCAUUUUCCAGGCGGGCUUCUAACUUUAACUAUAGCUUUAAUAUAAAUACCUCCAUUCUCCGGGCAGGCUCCUGACCGUUGAAACUUGAAUUGCAUGUCUCUGUUCUCCAGGCGGACUCCUGACUUCUGAAAUUUGAAUUUUGUACCUCUGUUCUCCAAGCGGGUUCCUGGCUUCAAAAUAAAUAAAGAGAUUAAUUGAAAACUAAAACUUGAAUUGUAUCACCUCUAUUCAUCAGGUGGGCUCCUGAUUGCUAAAGCUUGGACUGUAUAUCUCUGUUCUCCAGGCGGAGUCCUAACUACUAAAAUUCAAAAUGCAUGUCUCUGUUCUCCAGGCGAACUCUUGACUAUUGAAAUUUGAAAUGCAUGUUUCUGUUCUCCAGGUGGACUCCUGACUUCAAAAUAGAGAACGAAAUUGAUUGAAAACUAAACAUUUGAAUUGGAUCACCUCUAUUCUUCAAGCGGGCUCCUGAUUGUUAAAACUUGAAUUGUAUGUAUCUGUUUUCUAGGCGGACUCCUGACUUCAACAAAAUAAGCAACCAAAGAAAAUUUUCUGCCCCAGUUUGGAGGCUGAGUGUAGGGGUGAGUGUUAAACUGAAUCAUAUUACCAAAUACUACUAAGAACUGAAGCUAAGUCCUAUUAUCUAGAGUGGUCUUGACAACCUCUAAUAAUUACGAAUCUAAGGUAUUACUCUCACUACAUCAUGUUAUCUACAAGGGUUUUAACUACAUCCUAUUAUUCAGGAAGGUCCUGACAACUCCUAACAAUUAUGAACCAAGGAUAUUACUUCUCGCUAAAUCAUGUUAUCUACAAGGGUAUUUGAACUACGUCUUAUUACCCAGGAAGGUCCUGAAAACUUCUACUUAAAUUUUAUCCUAAACAUGAAAACUUUCAUUUCCAUAUACUAUCCAUGAUUAUUUUGUACUUUAAUCACACCACGUUUUGCGGUCAAACCUGAUUACUGCUUGUUUUUUCCUUUAUGGCGAAUUCCUCCUGAACAACCGACUUUUCUGCCCCUAUUUCAAUCAAAGAAAAUUUUACCAGUUUAAAAUGGUUGUUAGUUGUUGGAAUUCUUGCUGAAAAUCCUUCCACGGCAUUGCUUUAUUUUGACCAGCUUCCACGAACUGACCCUGAACCAAUUGACUUACUGACUUUCCAAAUUCUCCAACCUUUGACAACCUGAAUGUUUUGUACCCAUGUUGUUGUUUCACUUUUCUGACCCUUUCUGUCUAAACCUGUACAUUUCCCACAACAUUUUCCAAUUAUUCCGCCGAUGAAACUUCUGGCGACUUCCCAUAUUUCCUUGCAUCAUGUUGUUGUUAAUAUGCUCUGACCACAUUAUGCUUUACCAUUUUCGAAAGCUGGUAGUGACCUUUGAAAUCCUUUUCAUUUGCAUUGAAAAAAACUAGCACUGAAACAUCUUAAAUAGAUAAAAACCUCAAAAUAAAUGAAAUGCAAUGAUUUUACGAGUUAAGGAUAAGAAGAAUCCAAAACCAGAUGACUGUUAGAAGGAAAAAGAAGAGAACUUAUCUGGCCGGAACAGCUGGCACCAAUGGUCAUGACAUGCAUUUCAGACUAAUUGGCCAAAUCUGUCCAACUAACCAGCUUUCAAUUGCCAUACUUUGUUGCCCUAGAAUUGCUAUCACUUGAUUACUUUACCCAAAACUUAACUUUAUUCAUUUCUUGCGAUGCCUUGAAACAUUUUUCCACCCACAGACCUUUUUCCAAGUAACCACUUCUCAAAUCACUUUCGCCUCAAGGUGCCCACGAGGGUUUUCACCAAUAACACUCUCUCAUUUAUUUUUUUCUCUCAGCUCUCGUAGCCUUGUCGUGCCUAUGAAGGUUUUCACCAAUAAGAUUCUCUCAUUUUUAACUUUGUUCUUCUUGCUUGAACCAGAGUGUUGCCUCUGCCAUGAAUUGCUUCUACCUGCUCAACUUGGCAUUUCUAAAAAACUGAUCAGAUGGUCUUUUUUUGGACCGUAAUGUAGGCUUUUGGAUGGGUUAGGAAGAAGGGUAUAAAAGGCUCAAAAACAAUUUCAAAAUGGGUUACAAUUACAACUUUCGAAAUCCAAUUUCUCACAACCAUCACAAAUUCUGCCCUAGCUUCUUGCUUGGGGACUUUUGAAUUUUUAUUUUGGUGUGAUUAAACCUCAGAGAGGCUACCUACAUACCCUUUCGGGAGCAAGUCAAACGUAGUUCAGUGACUCAUAAUUAACCUUUGUUGUUGUGUUUUUCUUUCUUUUCUUUUCUUUUCUCUUAUUUUUCUCCUUUUCUUUUCUUCUUUAUCUUUUCUUUUCUUUAUCUUUUUCCUUUACUUUUCAUUUUUUUUCCUUUCUCUUCUUUUUUUUUCUUUCUUCUUUUCCUUUUCUUUUCUUUUUGCUUUGCUUUUCUUUUCUAUCUUUUAUGUUCAGCACCUGUGUUCCUUGAUAGUGCCGUUGAUUCUGAAAGAGGGUUAUGAAAAAUAAGUAAGGCUCAAAGGGGAUGACAAGGGAUAAAAGUGUUUGGAUAGCAGAACAAAACGUCUUCGUCAUUUCAUUCUUAAAAAUAUGCCAAAUACAAAUAGAUACAUUCAUAUAAAGAAAUCAUACAUAAUAUCUUUUGACCACAUCAGAAUUGAUGGCCAUUUCUACGCAUUUUCCUUAUGCAUCUGUCAAUUAGAGCGCACCAUUAGAUAACACUCUGAUUACUACAAAUGGCCCCUGCAAAUUCGGGCCAAAUUUUCCUUUUGCUUUAGCGCAAUGAGGCAGUAUCCGUCUUAGUACUGACAGUCUGACUUCGAAUCCUCUGGCGCACUUCCUUAUUGUAUGCUCUUGCCAUUCUUCGUUGGCACAGUUGACCAUGACAUACUGUUGUCAGUCUCUUCUCGUCAAUCAAACUCAACUGCUCAAGGCGGAUUUUCACCCAUUCAUCAUCAUCGAUCUCAGCCUCCACAACGAUUUGCAGAGACGGGAUUUCCACCUCUGCUGGUAUUACUGCCUCGGUGCCAUACAUCAAUGAAUAAGGAGUCACCCCCACUGAAGUACGAACAGUGGUGCGGUAUCCCAACAAUGCGAAAGGCAACUUUUCGUGCCACUGUCUCGAACCUUCCACAAUCUUCUGCAUUAUUUUCUUUAUAUUCUUAUUAGCUGCCUCAACCGCACCAUUGGCCUUAGGAUGGGUAAUCUUGAACUGCUCACAUGUUUCCUUCAUCGGAUGACUAUUGAGUUUCACCCCAUUGUCAGUAGUGAUCACUUUCGGUAUCCCAAAUCGUAAGAUAAUAUUAGAAUGGACAAAAUCCACCACAGCUUUCUUGCUUACAAACUUGAAUCUCUUGGCCUCUACCCACUUGGUAAAAUAGUCUAUAGCUACGAAAAUGAACAUGUGCGCAUUUGACGCUGCUGGUUCAAUUUGCCUAAUAAUAUCCAUGCCCAUGCGACAACAGGCCAUGGUGCGGAUAUCUUAUGUAGUUCUGAUGGCGGAGAAUGAACCAAAUCUCCAUGGACUUGGCACUGAUGGCAUUUACGCACAAAACCGAUACAAUCCCGCUCCAUAGUUAGCCAAUAAUACCUUUCUCGUAGGAUCUUCUUUUCCAAAAACAUAUCCGCUCAUAUGCAGUCCACAGACUCCCGAAUGUACCUAAGUCAUGAUAGAUGUGGCUUUCCUUGCAUCCAUGCACCUCAACAGCCCAAGAUCUGGGGUUCUUUUAUAUAACAUCCUCCACUAAAGAAAAACCCCCUUGCCAAUUGCCGACUUGAUAUUUUUUGAUCACCGGUGGCCUGUUCUGUGUAUACUCCCCUUUUGAUGUAUUCCAUUAUGUCGUGAAACCACGGCUCGCCAUCAAGCUCCUCUUCUACCAUGUUACAAUAAACGUGCUGAUCACGGUCCUGAAUCUAUAAAGGGUCCGUAUAAGCCUUGUCCGGGUGAUGUAAUACUGACGCCAAAGUAGGCAAAGCAUCGGAGACUUCAUUAUGAAUCCUUGGAAUGUGCCCGAAAUCUACCGACUGGAACUGUUGGCAAAGCUCAUACAAACAUUGCUGGUACGGUAUAAGUUUUAAAUCACGUGUUUCCCAUUCUCCUUGAAUUUGGUGUACCAGUAGGUCCGAGUCACCCAUGACCAAGACUNNNNNNNNNNNNNNNNNNNNNNNNNNNNNNNNNNNNNNNNNNNNNNNNNNNNNNNNNNNNNNNNNNNNNNNNNNNNNNNNNNNNNNNNNNNNNNNNNNNNNNNNNNNNNNNNNNNNNNNNNNNNNNNNNNNNNNNNNNNCUCAACUAGCUGAAUCUCAACCCCAAGAUACACGCCUCAUACUCUGCCAUGUUGUUUGUACAAUAAAAACAAAGCUGAGUGGUAAUAGGGUAGUGCUGACCCAUUUCAAAAAUAAGUACCGCUCCUAUUCCCACGCCUUUCAUAUUUGCAGCCCCAUCAAAGAAGAGUUUCCAUCCCAGCUUCUCAUCUUGCUCCAAUUAUUCAAUUUGCAUCACCUCUUUAUUAGGGAAAUAAGUUUUCAAAGGUUCAUAAUCUUUAUUGACUGGAUUCUCAACCAAAUGAUCAGCUAAUGCCUUUGCUUUCAUCGUUGUCCUUGUCACAUAGAUAAUGUCGAACUCUAUAAGCAGGAUCUGCCAGUUUUCAAGCCUACCUGUAGGCAUAGGCUUCUGAAAAAUAUACUUCAAUGGGUCCAAGCAAGAUUUGAGGUAAGUAGUGCAGGAAGACAAAUAAUGUUUCAACUUCUAUGCCACCCAAAUUAGGGCGCAACACGUCCUCUCCAGAUGAGUAUACGAUAACCUCGUAAGAUGUGAACUUCUUGCUGAGAUAAUAGAUUGUCUGUUCUUUUUUGCCCGUAACAUCAUGCUGCCCUAGUACACAACCAAACGAAUUAUCCAAAACCGUCAGAAAUAGAAUCAACGGCCUCCCUGGUUCUGGAGGGACCACCAAUGGUGGGUUCGACAAAUACUCCUUUAUCUUAUCAAAAGCCUCUUGAUAUUCAUUAGUGCAUUUAACUACAACAUCUUUCUUUAACAAUUUGAAAAUCGUUCACAAGUUGUUGUGAGCUGAACAAUGAACCUACUGAUAUAAUUCAAUCUUCCCAACAAACUCAUCACCUCAGUUUUGUAUCUUGGAGGCGGCAAUUCCUAAAUAGAUUUGAUCUUGACGGUUCUAUCUUAAUACCUCAACGACUGAUUAUAAACCCCCAACAACUUCCCAGAUGGCACCUCAAUAGCACAUUUUGCAGGAUUGAGCUUAAGAUUCUACCUGCGAUGCCUUUGAAAUUUUUUUUGUCAAAUCCUUGACAUGGUCGGACUGCUGUCAAGACUUCACGAUCACAUCAUCCAUAUACACCUCAAUUUCCAUAUGUAUCAUAUCAUGGAAUAUUGUUGUCAUUGCCCUCAUAUAAGUUGCCACAGCAUUUUCAAACCAAAUGGCAUGACCCGAUAACAGUACAUUCCCCACACCGUGAUGAAUACCAUCUUUUCUGUAUCUUCCUCGUCCAUUAAGAUCUGAUGAUAACCUGCGUAACAAUCCACAAAAGAGCCAAUAUCUUGUUUGGCACAAUUUUCAAUAUGUAUGUGGAUGUUGGGCAAUGGAAAAUUGUCAUCUGCUCUAGCCUUGUUAAGGUCCCGAUAAUUGACACACACCCUAGUCUUGUCAUCUUUCUUAGCUAACCAGGUGGGAUAUCGUGUAACCCGAAUGACCUUGGCAUCAAACUACUUGGUAAUCUCUUCUUUGAUCUUCACACUUAUGUCCGUCUUGAACUUUCUUAGCUUCUGCUUGAAAGGAGGGAGUAUCGUAUCAGUGGUCAAUUUGUUAACCCCUAAAUCGGUGCUUAGACUUGGCAUAUCAUCAUACGACCAUGCAAAAAGAUCCUUGUAUUCAAACAAUGCUUUAAUUAUCUCCUCCUUGACUUUGGCACUAGAUGAACACUCACUUUAGUUUCCCGCACAUUAUAUUGGUCCCCUAGAUUAACUGCUUAUGUGCCAUUUAGGUUAGGUUUGGGUUUUUCUUCAAAAUGACUUAAUUCUUUACUAAUUUCCUCAUAUAGGCCUCAUCAUCAUCACAUUCCACUUCGUCAUCACACUCGAUUUCUUGUAUUAUUAUUUCUAAGUUAGAUUGGCUUACAAGAUUGCGCCGAAGAUUCCUCAUGCAUGUCAUGUCAUUGAUAUCAGCAUAAAAAGAACUGUAUAGAAAGGAAAAGAAAGAAAAAAAUGGCAAUGGAAUUAGGAAUAAAGAAAGAAGGAAAAUUGCAUUUCAUUAAAUGUAAAGAUCACAUGGUAUUAACUCAUCCAAACGGACGGAAUAUAGCAACUGAAUUACAAACCCUAGAAUAAUCCAGGUGAAAAAAAGAAAAACAAAAUCCACUACCACGACUAAAACUGGGUCGAAGAUUCCUAGUGCAUGUCAUGUCAUUGAUAUCAGCAUAAAAAGAACUGUACAAAAAAGAAAAGAAAGAACAAAAAGAUAUAAAAAAAUUAGGAAUAAAGAAAGAAGGAGAAUUGCAUUUCAUUAAAUGUAAAGAUAACAGGGUUUUAACUCAUCCAAACGGACAAAACAUAGCAACUGAAUUACAAAUCCUAGAAUAAUCCAGGUGAACAAAAGGAAAACAGAACCCACUACCAUGACUCCCUCAGAGUUGGAAGAGGAAUAGCUUCAAAAUUGUUGAUUUUAGCACGUGGUCUGAUCUGUUGGAUAUCUUCUUUGCUCGACCCUUCCCUUGCCUCAACUAUGUUCACCUCAGAAAAUACCCUAUCGAACACUUUAUCAAAGUUCACCUCUGCACCAAUCAGUGGACCUAACACCUUUGUCAAUAACUACCUUUUGAUACCCGGCCUGACGAAGGACCUGGACAGGCGUGAAAUUGGUUUGGGAACAACCCAAGCUUUCUUUUUCAAUUUACGAGCCCUUAUAACAUAUGCUGCUGUUGGCUUGAACCCUAACCCGAAGGUUUCGAGAUUCUUGGGCAAAGCAAUACGUUGAACAAUGCCCUGAAGCUCAGGCCCCCGGCCUUUCCCUGGCACGAACCCAUUACCCAGCCUUUCUGAUACCACCAUAACGGUCCCAGCUUCCACCCUAGGACGUAGGGAUGCUUUUACCUUCUGUCACUCUUCUCACCAGGAUUGUUUCAAAGACUUGAUAAACCCAUGGCCCUUUAUAAUCAUCAGUUUCUAUAAAAGGCACAACGGCGUCACUUACAGCGCAUGUAGGAUCUUCCCCAUGUAACACAAUUUCUUGUUUGUCCCACUCAAACAUGACCAUUUGGUGCAAUGUGGAAGGCAUUGCCUUGGCCGCGUGGAUCCAUGGUCGAUCCAACAAAAGAUUGUAAGAUACUGAAGUGUCCAAUACCUGAAAUUCCAUAGUGAACUCAACUGGGCCAAUAGUCAAUUAAAGUAUAAUGUCCCCUACUAUGUAUGUUCCUCCCCCAUCGAACCCUCGAACACAAACACAAUUUUUGUGGAUUCUAUCAUCAUCAAUCUUCAACUUGUUUAGUACCCGUUAUCGAUCAACACCCUAGUAACCAUCGAAUUGUCACACAUGACCGUCAAAUAGAGAGCUUUGUUGUGUUCUGUUCCCUCCACGGGCAAUUCAUCAUCAGAAAAUGUUACUAUGUUCACCUCAAAUUUCUUGUUGGAAAUUUCCUCCAUAUGAUUCACUGAAAUUUUAUCAGGCACACGAGCAUCAUUCAAUAUCUUCAUCAAAGCCCAGCGAUGCUCGUCCGAGUGGAUCAGUAAUGUUAACAACGAUAUCUAAGCCAUUGUUUUUCUCAGUUGUUCAACAAUAGAGUAAUCCUAUACUUUCAUCUUUUUCAAAAGUUCCCCCGCCUCUUCUUCUGUCACAUCCUUCUUGACCAAUACUGUAUUGUCUUUAGUGGCCCUGGCUUUUCUCAGCUCUUCGGGAGCAAAACAACGUCAUGACCGAGUUAAUCCCCGUGCUUCACAACUUUCUUCCUCAAUUUCCUUUCAUUUGUAUGUCACCACUACCUUCUCAUAUUUCCACGGCAGGACUUUGCUAUUGACCACGGGUAAUUGGGCUAUCAGCUUUAUGAUGACUGGUUCUAUGCAGGACCUUUUCACAACAACCACGUGCACAGAUGAUGCCCCUGGUACCACUAACUUGGUUGGCUCUGGCUUCUUUAUGCCGACGAACGACCCAUUCCCCAUCACCACCACUGGCUUGUCAUUUAUUUCCUUUGGCUGAAUUGCUGGCUUUACCUCAACCGCUUUUUAUUUCCUUGGCUUCCAUAGAAUGGAUCAUCAUGACUGACUACAAGGGCUUUUUAGGCUCUGCUCCCUUAUGUAUUUGUUCAGUCGUGUUAGUCUUGUGGUGCGGUGGUAACGGGUUUUGGUUAAUGUUCGACGCCCCGGAGCCUGUACCUCAAUACGGAGAUUAUCAAUGAGUUCCUGCACCGCGUUCAAUUUCUAACACUUCUCAGUAUCAUUCCCCGACAUCCCUGAGCAAUACUCAUAGCUAACAGAACGGUCCAGGUUUCUGGGAAGGAGAUUCGGUACUUUGAGCUCGAUUGGGGUCAACAUUCCCAACUAUUUCAAUCUGUGGAAAAGAGUGGUGUAAGACUCUCCCAAUGGAGUAAAUGUUUUUCUGUUUGGGACCUUCUCACUUCUGAAAUCUUGGUUUGGGCGAAAGCCGGUUCCUUGUCUAUUAGCCCUGGGAGGUGAAUAGGUGUUUUAUGGAGGUGGAUAUGUGUUUUGGGGAGCCAGUGCACGCCAUUGCGGGUGAGCUGGAGGCUGAGUAUAUGUCUGGGCAUGGUGGACGGAAAAGUGUGGCUCUGGUGGUGGGUAGUAAUGUUGUGGUGGGCCAUAUGGGGUGUACUGGUAAUUUGGGUGGUAGGGUCUAGGUUGGUUGUAGUAGGGUGGAGGGAUUUUGGACUUAGACCAAGUACUAGCUUCAACUGCGGAAGCUUCUUCCUUCUUUUUCUUUCCAAGCACACCACCUAUACCGUUUUGGAUGGCAUGAGUGGUUGCUUUCAAUGCCAAAUAGCUAAAGAUUUUGUUAGCCUUCAACGUCGCAUCCGUCUUCAGGACGAUAUAGCCAUAAAGAUGCACGUCUUAGUGGGGCCUCUUCAAUCAUGGCUCCCAUAUUUACCACUUCAUAAAAUAAUUUUCCAACAGACAUCACUAGAUGACCAAAGUAGGUCGGCUCCAAUGUCCGCAAGAAGUAAUCUACCAUCUCACUCUCCCUCAUCGGAGAAUCAACUCUUGCUGCUUGUUCUCUCCAGUGGAAACCAAAUUCUCUAAAACACUCCCCGGGUUUCUUCUCUAGCUUCAACAAUGAUAGACGAUCGGGGACUAUCUCAAGAUUAUACUAAAAGUGUCCAAUGAAUGCUUGUGCCAAAUCAUCCCAUGUAUACCAUCGGCCAGGAUCCUGUCUCGUGUACCAUUCCAGUGUAGACCCGCACAAACUUUGACCGGAAUAGGCUAUCCGCAAUUCAUCCUUCCCCCUAAGCUCCUCUCAUUUUUCUAUAGAAACCUCGGAGGUGGGCCACCGGGUUGCCAUGUCCCUCGUACAAAUCAAACUUGGGAAUUUUGAAACCUGCGGCCAACUGGACAUCAGGGAAAGGGCUUAAAUCUUCGUAAGCAACACUAAUUUGGCUGCCUCAACUGUGCAUGUUCCUGAAGGAUUGCUCCAGGAUUUUGACUUUAUGAACCACCUCCUUCGGUUCCGCAUUCUUAAUUGGUUUCUCAACUUCUCUCGGAAUCUCAAAAUGGGGUUUAUAGGUGUAUGGCUCAGGAGCUUUAAAAGUGGGUUCAGGAGGGUAAUAUUGGGUGUCGUGAGCUUGGAGUAGCGGCUCAAUGGAAGACCUUUGUAAUCUGGCUGGGGGAGGUGCCACAAAGACUGGAACCAUGAGUGGAGAAGGGUUCUGUUUGGGGUGGUGGAGCUGGAGGAGUGUAUGAAGUGGUACCAUAGCCCUGGGUGUGAUAGGGGAAUGAUGGAGAUGUGUUAGGAGUAGGAGUCUCCUGAGCCUGCACUAGAGGUGGGAUAUAGAAUGGGUUGGCAGGGUACGAAGGUGCCGAGUACCCCUAAGACCAAGCUUGGUACAUUUCAGCUAUAUGCGCCUUCAACUUCCUCAUCUCUUCUUUCAUAGCUCCCACAUCUUUCACCUCGGCUUCUUUUGUAGGGUCCACAAUACUGGAAUCAAAUUAUUUUCCUAUCAUAUUAACUUUGGACCGGGUGUUGUACGAGUGAGUUACCAGAAUGCCGGAUCAACUAACCACAUGUCUGUACUCACAUUUGGACAACAACUUCAUCAAUGGUUAGGCUUUAACAGAUUGGAUAACUGCACGUUGGCAUGAAUGCACUUAUACAGUUAACCAUCUCUAUUAUGCAUUUUCUUGACUGCAUGCGUCAUCCCGGCCUUUUAUGAUUUUGCGUCACAACUUUCUUUUCAUUUCUCUUUUCCCUCUCUUCGUAAGCAACACUAAUUUGGCUGCCUAAACUGUGAGAAUCAAACCUGCGUAGUUCGGACAAAUUAACUGAACUAUUUUAAAACAUGACUCUUUUUGAUUUUUGUUUUGGCAGCAAAUAACAAAACCACGUUCAAAGCAUGAAUAUUUUUAUUUUUAUUUUUGGCAUUUCAUAAACAAAUAAAAAACUAUUUUUUUAAAAAACUUUUUUUAUUUUCAUAUUUCAUGGCAAGACAAACUAUUUUCCUUUUCUAUUUUUGAAAACAAGACAAAAUAAGGACUCCUUUUUUUCCUUUUUUUUCAACAAAAAAUAAAACAACCUAUUUUUUCCAAGGUAAAAACAAAGACUCUUUUCUCUUUUUCUACUAACAAUAAAUCAACCUAUUUUCCAAUCUAAAAAUAAAGACUCUUUUCUUUUUCUUUUUCUGAAAACAGCCUAUUUUCGUUUCCGUUGGCAAAUAAACUAUUUUGAAAAUAAGAAAAUCCAAAAAUAAAGACUCUUUAUUUUCAUUUUCCCCAGCAAAAUAGACUUUUUUCCUAUUCUAUUUUUUGAAAACAAGACAGAAUAACAAUUUUUUUUUAUAUUUUUCCUUUGCUAUUUGGUAAAACAAACUAAUAAAAUAUUUUUUCAUUUUCGGUAUAGUUCGACAGCAUUUGGACAUUGGGUUUUCCAAUAUAAUCAAUUAAUUCCCUAACCGCUAUUUUUCUUAUUUUUUUCUUCUCCUCAAUUUCACAAUACUCCCGAUAUUCAAAAACCAGUCAGCAUGUGGGUUUGAGACAAAUAAAUGCAUGGAAAACAAAUAGGAUGCAUUAGGAUGGUCUUUUCAUUUCAGGUUGCUAGUCCUAGACGGACCCAACCCCUGUGUUGAGUCCCCUAAGUCUAAAUGCACAUGAUGCAAAUAAGCGUUCCUACUAGGGAUCCAACAUGAGGUUAGUUAUUCUAGGUUCAAAACCUAGGUGUUUGUUCUAGACCUGGCUUACCCGAGCGAACAGCUCGAGCCGAGGAAGACGUCCCCUAAGUCAAACGCAACGUGAUGAAAAUAAGAGUUCCUACUAAGGAUCCGGAUGAAGUCACCUUAUUCUAUGUUCAAAACCCGCGUCGGUGUUGUGUACCUGAGCGGACAACUCGAGUCGAGGAGUGGGCAACUUUCCGGGAACCUAAAGGCCAUCCGGCUUAGUAACUUGUCCGAGCCUCUUUCUUAUUUCAGGGGGCAUGACACUAACAGAAUAGGGAGUCUCAAAACCAAUAAGCACAUCCCCGGAGGUGAAGAGAGAAGAGGGUCUUCACAGUUUAUAUACAGUUCAGAUAAUAUCAAAGCGGUAACAUUUAGCACAUUAAGCAUGAAACAUGUAGGAAAAUCAUAUAUAUCCAAAUACACCAAUUUAUCUAAGCUAAAAUUUUGAACCUUGAACAAAACACUCUGGGUUCUUUUCCAGAGCAGAGUCACCAGAGCUGUCACACCUCCUUUUCACCUACACCCCACAAAGGGGCGUAAAUGUGUUUUCCAAUUAAAGGACAGUCGAAACGGAAUUUGGUUAUUAAUUAUUCAUAGUCGGCACUUGGAAAAUUAAUGGUGUCCAAAGUCACCAGUUGAAUCCCGAACCAACUCUGUUACAGUCCGUGAACCAGAAAUCCGGAUAAGGAAUUCUGUUAACCCGGGAGAAGGUGUUAGGCAUUCCCGGGUUCCGGGGUUCUAGCGCGGUCACUUAACUACAGUAUUUGAUUUUAUCUGAUUUUAAUAUGCUAGCCUAUGUGCCUUUUAUUUGUAAACCGCUUUUAUCAUUGUUUAUUUUUAAAGAAUUGCGACGUCGUGAAAACGCGUUUCGGACCUCGCUGCAACCAAUGCAUCCGUGGUUGUCAACACAUUUCGACUUUAUUGAGAACUGGAUUUGGGUCGCAUCAAUGCGCACCCGAGUUUAGGAAGUAAAUUAAUUAUGUCGCGCCUAAAGGUUCUAACGUAUUAUUAUUCUAGGAAAUACCGUUAAACAACCUUCCAAAUUCUGAUAAUUUUUAAUAACUGUUUAUUUAGGGGCCCACAUUUAUUUUAGUUCGAUGAGGCUCGUCUCAAUUUGUGAACCUCUUUUCUCCAUUAUUUAUUUUAUAAGACUUACGAUGUCGUGAAAAAGCAUUUCGAACCCCAUCGCAAUCAAUGAGGCUGCGAUUUUCAACACGUUUCGACUUCAUCAAGAUUUGGAUUUGGGUCGCAUCAAUGCGCAACUGAAUUUAUGAAAGCAAAUUAUUAAAGACGUGCCUAAAGAUUCUAGCAUAUCAUUAUUUUGGGGAAGACCGUGAAAUUCACUAAACGGCCUCCAACAUUCAAAUUAUUUUAUAUAACCAUUCUUGAGGGCCCCGACUUUUAAAAUUUUAUUUGGCGAGUUUCGUCUCAUCAUUUUAUUUAAAAAACUACUCCUAAAGUGACUACGAUUUUUCUAUUUAUUUUGUCUCUAAAAAAAACAAAAGCAGAAGUCCUAAAUAAUUAUUGUUGAGCUAUUAUACUUUUAGAGAAGCAGGACUUGUAUUCAGCCCUAUAAGGAGACAUCGCUAAUCUCAAAAUCAGCCUAGCCUGAAAGCAGGCCCAAUCUUGUAUUAUUGUUGCAACUGGACUGCCUGCGUGGCCCAGUUUUCUUUUACAAAUCUACAAAAAAAUGCAGUCUCAAACAGAAAAUCAGGACCAAAGUAACGAAAGCGUUAUUGUAUUAAAAAUAAACUAACGCCUAUAAAUCAAAGACGUGAAUCCAGUGAUUAAUCAUCUACCAAAAUUUGUCAUCGAUCAAACAGCAUUUCAACUUUAAGUUGGUACUCAGCCUUAGCAGUAACCUAAAGAGCAGGCCUAAAUGCAAUGAUUGGAGUUAGCAAGCAUAUUUAUUAGAAUGAUUUGAGUAUCUAGCCUAAAUGUUAUAACCUUCACACGUAGUGAAAAACUUACUUAACAUUUCAAAUAACUCCUUUAACGAUUAAAUACCCAACAAAUACUGAAACUCAUUACUAUAGGCAAGUAACUCUAUAACAGGCAAUUCACAUAAUUUGUCAGAGUUUAGUAAUCAUGUAUCACCAUCUUAAACACAGGACUCUGAUUUCCAGUUCAUAGGCCAUAACUAAUAUUUAUCCUACCAUCCGAUAUUCAGUCCAGUCAUACAAUCCAAUUUAUAUUAUAAUAAACACCUAAUCAAAUCAUAGCUAAUAUAACAAAAUUAUUAAAAGGUCAAUCUAUAGUAGAUCUGGGGCUUCAAUUUUAGUUCCUGCUCAACAAAUGAAUGUACAUUGACUUAGUCUCAAGUGUGUACCUGCUAGUAUAAAACAACAAGAGAAACGUGAGAAUCAGUAGCAGCUAGCAGAACCAGGAUUCAUCAGCUUCACAAGGCUUAGGAAGAAGGAAAUUUUUCAACCAAAAUACACUGAUUCUACUCAAACUAAACCAGGAAGUCACAUAACAUCGUCUAGCAGUCAAAAAUACUCAGAGAUAGCUCCAACAAACCACCAAACAACUCCAAAUGCUUUUGAAAACUCGAGUUUAAAGCAGAAGUGAAGAAAAUCAAAAAGGAAUUUGAAAAUGUCCUAAAUAAGCAAUGGAACAGUAGAAUGUUUUUUAUUUUUCUGUUUUCUGUUGUUUUUAUUAUUUAUUUUUUUUUGGCAUUUUUUUAAAACUAAAAAGCUACUUCAAAUAUGAAAUCUAUAAUGGCCAGAGUUUUUUGGAGCUAAUAAUGGCUGAAAGUGGAACCCCCUCCCCAAGGAAAAUGCCUCACUAUUUAUAGGUGAACUAAGAUUUAAAAAUUGCCUCUUAGGCCCCUCCCUUUUUUGAUAUUUACCCCCUUUAUUUUUAACUUCUGCACAAGUAACUGCCUCACAUUAGAAAAAAACCAAUUUGACCUUGUUCUAGAAUAUUCUAGGAAGUUCUACUAGUUGCUACUAGGACUGUUUUACGAGAAAAACCUAAACUGCCCCCUCUUCUUAAUUAGAAUUACCUACCUCUUGUCAAUUAAACCAAACUUUAAUAAGUAUACUAAUUCAUCAUGCCAAAUCCUCAAUUAACAACCUUAAGAAAUUAUUCGGAUAACUCUAAUCACCUAGAACUAAAGGAAAUCUACUGAAGUAAGCAAACUGUGUUACCUGAAGCCAAAAAAAACCAAUAUAACCUACAAAUUUAACUAAUCAAUACGUAAUGUAAAAGAACUAUAAUAGAGAUUAAUACUAACUCAAAAAAAAAUGAAGGACAUCUACUGAAUUAAAGCGACUCAAUUAGAAACAACGGUCAAACUAAAUUCUAAUCUUGACUGAAAUAAGAUGAAAGAGAUUAUAUCGAACAAAUAACAAAUGGAACCAAAUAAACACCAAACAAACCCAUAGACUCUAACUAGCAAAACAACUAAUUAACAACUGCUUAAGAAGCCUAGGAAAACUUACUGAUGAAAUAAACUUCGGCUAGUCGUGUUAAUCACAAAUUCGGCCAUGUAUAGGGUCAAUUGAGCUUUAUUGACGAUCUGUUCCUUACGAGGGAGGUCCAGGGACCUUUUGUCAUCAGUUUCAUGCACUGUGUCCAUUUAAUAUUUUUGUCUUGAAGAAUUGAAAUUAAUAUUUGAGCCGUUCCGGCUACAUUCGAGCCAAGCGGCUAUGGAAUUUGUGUAGGGGAUGCCAAGGCGGCCCUAUGGAGUUAUUUUGGGGUGAUUGGGUUAACCGGUGUCAUGGCUGGAAAAUCUGUUAAUGAAAAUUCGAGGAUUUUCGGUAAGGUUUGAGGAAAGCGAAAGGCGGGAAUGGGAAGAGGAUGACCUAGGUAAUUUGUGGUGUUAAUUUGGGAUGGUUUGGAGGUGGUAACAUUCACUGGCGGCGGCUCCGCCGAUGGUGUUACAAGGAGAUAGGAGGAGGGUGGCCCUUGGUCUCUGAUACAAUGAAGGGCUUCAGACAAUUAUAU